GACGAACGCUGGCGGCGUGCCUAACACAUGCAAGUCGAACGGAGAUAUGAUUUCGGUUGUAUCUUAGUGGCGAACGGGUGAGUAACGCGUGAGCAACCUGACCUUCAGAGGGGAUAACACUCGGAAACGAGUGCUAAUACCGCAUAAGACCACGACCCGACAUCGGGAUGAGGUCAAAGGAGCAAUCCGCUGAGGGAGGGGCUCGCGUCCCAUUAGAUAGAUGGCGGGGUAACGGCCCACCAUGUCGACGAUGGGUAGCCGAGCUGAGAGGCUGAUCGGCCACACUGGAACUGAGACACGGUCCAGACUCCUACGGGGGGCAGGCAGUAGGGAAUCUUCGGCAAUGGGCGGAAGCCUGACCGAGCGACGCCGCGUGAGGGACGAAGGCCUUCGGGUUGUAAACCGCUUUCAGCAGGGACGAAGUGAAAAUGACGGUACCUGCAGAAGAAGCACCGGCUAACUACGUGCCAGCAGCCGCGGUAAGAGUCACGUCG
RNAcentral lists this ribosomal RNA (494 nucleotides) under uncultured bacterium. Its description in RNAcentral is "bacterial SSU rRNA". It matches the Rfam family "Bacterial small subunit ribosomal RNA", at positions 28 to 534 of the family's 1533-position model. The record is from RNAcentral.